GCGUUGUCCGGAUUUAUUGGGCGUAAAGAGCUCGUAGGCGGCUCGGUAAGUCGGGUGUGAAACCUCCAGGCUCAACCUGGAGACGCCACCCGAUACUGCUGUGGCUAGAGUCCGGUAGGGGAGCGUGGAAUUCCUGGUGUAGCGGUGAAAUGCGCAGAUAUCAGGAGGAACACCAGCGGCGAAGGCGGCGCUCUGGGCCGGAACUGACGCUGAGGAGCGAAGGCGU
Molecule: ribosomal RNA, 226 nt
Filed under: uncultured bacterium
Lineage: Bacteria
Description: partial 16S ribosomal RNA
Rfam family: Bacterial small subunit ribosomal RNA
Source: RNAcentral